UUUGCGGUCUGCUAAAGUUACAAAGUACCCGUGGCAAUCGUGUUUCAUACAGAGAACAUUUGUGUGUGAUGUUACAGGGUGAGCACUGAGAUUCCUUACCAAUUCACUUAUGUUUCAACUAAACAUGAAGGGAUCACGAGGGGAUAAAACAUCAUUUGACAGCGCUGUGCAAAUUAAUAACUGACAGUGUAGUAAAGGCGCAUGAUGUUACAGAAGCCUUUGCCCUCAGCUCCAUUGCCAAUCGGUUACGAAAUGCACCUAAGAGGAAAGAAAGGCUGGAUGCAGUGUCAUUUAUUAAGUGUUAAGUAAAUGUUUUU
Molecule: long non-coding RNA, 317 nt
Organism: Clarias gariepinus (North African catfish)
Lineage: Eukaryota; Metazoa; Chordata; Actinopteri; Siluriformes; Clariidae
Exons: 3
Source: RefSeq, a predicted model, not a curated record